AGUGGCGUACGGGUGAGUAACACGUGGAUAAUCUACCUUCUGGUGAGGAAUAACCCUGGGAAACCGGGGCUAAUACCGCAUAAGCGAGAGGAAAGUCGCGCCGGAAGAGGAGUCCGCGGCCGAUUAGCUAGUUGGCAGGGUAAGAGCCUACCAAGGCAAAGGUCGGUAGCCGGCCUGAGAGGGCACACGGCCACACUGGCACUGAAACACGGGCCAGACUCCUACGGGAGGCAGCAGUGGGGAAUCUUGCACAAUGGGGGAAACCCUGAUGCAGCGACGCCGCGUGAGCGAUGAAGCCCUUCGGGGUGUAAAGCUCUUUCGGCAGGGACGAUUGACGGUACCUGCAGAAGCAGCUGCGGCUAACUACGUGCCAGCAGCCGCGGUAAUACGUAGGCAGCAAGCGUUGUACGGAGUUACUGGGCGUAAAGGGUGUGUAGGCGGUUGCUUAAGUAUGGUGUGAAAUCUCCCGGCUCAACCGGGAGGGUGCGCCGAAUAC
Molecule: ribosomal RNA, 496 nt
Filed under: uncultured soil bacterium
Lineage: Bacteria
Description: bacterial SSU rRNA
Rfam family: Bacterial small subunit ribosomal RNA
Source: RNAcentral